RNAcentral lists this ribosomal RNA (427 nucleotides) under uncultured bacterium. RNAcentral's name for it is "partial 16S ribosomal RNA". It matches the Rfam family "Bacterial small subunit ribosomal RNA", at positions 355 to 774 of the family's 1533-position model. The record is from RNAcentral.
UAGGGAAUCUUCCGCAAUGGGCGAAAGCCUGACGGAGCAACGCCGCGUGAGUGAAGAAGGUCUUCGGAUCGUAAAACUCUGUUAUUAGGGAAGAACAAAUGUGUAAGUAACUAUGCACGUCUUGACGGUACCUAAUCAGAAAGCCACGGCUAACUACGUGCCAGCAGCCGCGGUAAUACGUAGGUGGCAAGCGUUAUCCGGAAUUAUUGGGCGUAAAGCGCGCGUAGGCGGUUUUUUAAGUCUGAUGUGAAAGCCCACGGCUCAACCGUGUGGGGUCAUUGGAAACUGGAAAACUGGAGUGCAGAAGAGGAAAGUGGAAUUCCAUGUGUAGCGGUGAAAUGCGCAGAGAUAUGGAGGAACACCAGUGGCGAAGGCGACUUUCUGGUCUGUAACUGACGCUGAUGUGCGAAAGCGUGGGGAUCAAACA